This 2902-nucleotide ribosomal RNA is filed under the name Clostridioides difficile. RNAcentral's name for it is "23S ribosomal RNA". It matches the Rfam family "Bacterial large subunit ribosomal RNA". Lineage: Bacteria; Bacillati; Bacillota; Clostridia; Peptostreptococcales; Peptostreptococcaceae. The record is from RNAcentral.
UGGUCAAGUUAUUAAGGGUGCAGGGCGGAUGCCUUGGCACUAGGAGCCGAUGAAGGACGUGAUAAGCUGCGAUAAGCUUCGGGGAGUUGCACGUAAACUUUGAUCCGAAGAUUUCCGAAUGAGGAAACUCACUUAGAGUAAUGUCUAAGUAUCAUUAAGUGAAUACAUAGCUUAAUGAGGGGAACUCAGGGAACUGAAACAUCUAAGUACCUGAAGGAAGAGAAAGAAAUUCGAUUCCGUAAGUAGCGGCGAGCGAACGCGGAUUAGCCCAAACCAAUAAAGUUUUCUUUAUUGGGGUUGCGGACAUAUCAUAACGAAGAGGUAUCGUAAUUGAAGAGGUUUGGAAAGACCCACCACAGAAGGUAAUAGUCCUGUAUGUUAAACGAGAAGACUUCAGAUAUGAUCCAGAGUACCACGGGACACGUGAAACCCUGUGGGAAGCAGGAGGGACCACCCUCCAAGGCUAAAUACUACCUAGUGACCGAUAGCGUAUAGUACCGUGAGGGAAAGGUGAAAAGAACCCCGGGAGGGGAGUGAAAUAGAACCUGAAACCCUGCACUUACAAGCUGUGGAAGCACAUUUCUUGUGUGACCGCGUACUUUUUGUAGAACGGGCCAACGAGUUACGUUAAGUAGCAAGGUUAAGCACUUAAGGUGCGGAGCCGUAGCGAAAGCGAGUUUUAACUGAGCGUUCAGUUACUUGACGUAGACCCGAAACCGGGCGACCUACCCAUGAGCAGGAUGAAGCGAAAGUAAAAUUUCGUGGAGGUCCGAACCCACGAGCGUUGAAAAGCUCGGGGAUGACUUGUGGGUAGCGGUGAAAUUCCAAUCGAGCCCGGAGAUAGCUGGUUCUCCCCGAAAUAGCUUUAGGGCUAGCCUCAAGGUGAGAGAUACGGAGGUAGAGCACUGAAUGUCCUAGGGGGUAUUGCACCUACCGAAGACUAUCAAACUCCGAAUGCCGUCAUCUUAUACUUGGGAGUCAGACUGUGGGUGAUAAGAUUCAUAGUCGAAAGGGCAACAGCCCAGAUCGUCAGCUAAGGUCCCUAAAUGUAAGUUAAGUGGUAAAGGAUGUGGGAUUGCACAGACAACCAGGAUGUUGGCUUAGAAGCAGCCACUCAUUCAAAGAGUGCGUAAUAGCUCACUGGUCGAGUGAUCCUGCGCCGAAGAUUUCCGGGGCUAAAACUUACUACCGAAGCUACGGCAUCAGUAAUGAUGGGUAGGGGAGCUUCCCAUACGGGUUGAAGCAUGACCGUAAGGACAUGUGGACAGUAUGGGAGUGAGAAUGUUGGCAUGAGUAGCGAGAUGUGGGUGAGAAUCCCACAGGCCGUAAACCCAAGGUUUCCAGGGGAAGGUUCGUCCGCCCUGGGUUAGUCGGAACCUAAGCUGAGGCCGAAAGGCGUAGGUGAUGGACAACAGGUUGAUAUUCCUGUACUACCGAUAACCAUUUGAGAGAAGGGAUGACACAGUAGGAUAAGCUAAGCACACUGUUGGUUAUGUGUGCCCAAGCAUUGAGGCAGUCAAAGUAGGCAAAUCCGCUUUGAUAAUGCUGGGAUGUGAUGGGGAGCGAAAUUUAGUAGCGAAGUAGCUGAUUUCACACUGUCAAGAAAAGUCUCUAUCGAGGUUAAAGGUACCCGUACCGCAAACCGACACAGGUGGGUGAGGAGAGUAUCCUAAGGCCAGCGAGAGAACUGUUGUUAAGGAACUCGGCAAAAUGACCCCGUAACUUAGGGAUAAGGGGUGCCACCAUCAGGUGGCCGCAGAGAAUAGGCCCAAGCGACUGUUUACCAAAAACAUAGGUUUCUGCUAAGUCGCAAGACGAUGUAUAGGAGCUGACGCCUGCCCGGUGCUGGAAGGUUAAGGGGAUCUGUUAGAGCAAUCGAAGCAGUGAACUUAAGCCCCAGUAAACGGCGGCCGUAACUAUAACGGUCCUAAGGUAGCGAAAUUCCUUGUCGGGUAAGUUCCGACCCGCACGAAAGGCGUAACGAUUUGGGCACUGUCUCAACAACAGACUCGGUGAAAUUGUAAUUCCGGUGAAGAUGCCGGAUACCUGCGACAGGACGGAAAGACCCCAUGGAGCUUUACUGUAGCUUGACAUUGGGUCUUGGUACUACAUGUACAGGAUAGGUGGGAGGCUUUGAAACCAGGACGCCAGUUUUGGCGGAGCCAUCCUUGGGAUACCACCCUUGUAGUACUGGGACUCUAACCAUAGGCCAUGAAUCUGGUCUUGGGACACUGUCAGGUGGGCAGUUUGACUGGGGCGGUCGCCUCCCAAAAGGUAACGGAGGCGCUCAAAGGUUCUCUCAGUACGGUCGGAAAUCGUACGUAGAGUGUAAGGCAAAAGAGAGCUUGAUUGCAAGACAUACAGGUCGAGCAAGGAUGAAAAUCGGACUUAGUGAUCCCGGUGGUUCUGCGUGGAAGGGCCAUCGCUCAACGGAUAAAAGCUACCCUGGGGAUAACAGGCUUAUCUCCCCCAAGAGUCCACAUCGACGGGGAGGUUUGGCACCUCGAUGUCGGCUCAUCACAUCCUGGGGCUGUAGUAGGUCCCAAGGGUUGGGCUGUUCGCCCAUUAAAGUGGUACGCGAGCUGGGUUCAGAACGUCGUGAGACAGUUCGGUCCCUAUCCGUCGCAGGCGUAGGAAAUUUGAGAAGACCUGUCCUUAGUACGAGAGGACCGGGGAUGGACGUACCUCUGGUGUACCAGUUGUUCUGCCAAGGGCAUGGCUGGGUAGCUAUGUACGGAAUGGAUAAGCGGCUGAAAGCAUCUAAGCGCGAAGCCAACUUCAAGAUAAGAUUUCCCACCGCAAGGGUAAGACUCCAGAAAGACUAUCUGGUUGAUAGGUCGAAGGUGUAAGUGCAGCAAUGUAUUUAGCUUAUCGAUACUAAUAGGUCGAGGACUUGACCAAU